This 336-nucleotide ribosomal RNA is filed under the name uncultured Bacillota bacterium. Its description in RNAcentral is "bacterial SSU rRNA". It matches the Rfam family "Bacterial small subunit ribosomal RNA", at positions 97 to 419 of the family's 1533-position model. The record is from RNAcentral. Lineage: Bacteria; Bacillati; Bacillota.
GGCAAACGGGUGAGUAACGCGUUGGGCGACCUACCUUCGAGUGGGGGAUAACCUUCCGAAAGGAGGGCUAAUACCGCAUGACAUCCCGUGUUUGGAUACACGGACAUCAAAGCCGGGGAUCGCAAGACCUGGCGCUUGGAGAGGGGCCCGCGUCCGAUUAGCUAGUUGGUGAGGUAACGGCUCACCAAGGCUCCGAUCGGUAUCCGGCCUGAGAGGGCGGACGGACACACUGGAACUGAGACACGGUCCAGACUCCUACGGGAGGCGGCAGUGGGGAAUUGUUCGCAAUGGGCGCAAGCCUGACGACGCAACGCCGCGUGGAGGAUGAAGACUUUC